This is a non-coding RNA of Paramuricea clavata, 132 nucleotides long. The record is from the annotation of a GenBank genome assembly. NCBI's taxonomy places the organism in Eukaryota, Metazoa, Cnidaria, Anthozoa, Malacalcyonacea, Plexauridae.
UGUCGCCUGCAAGCUGCUUACAACUUGAGUUGUACUGUGUAAAUCAAGUACACAACUUGCCUACGUUGUCGUGAGUUGAGUGCUUGAUUUACACACAGUACAAUUCCAGUUGUAAGCAGGUUGUAUGCGACA